ACUAUGAUGCCACAUAUGAAAUACACACAUCAACCAUUAGAAAAUCUCUUAUUCUUUUUCUCAUCUAGGAUUUACAUAUCUAGAGAAAACAUAAAUUGAACCCUUCGUCGCCAUCUCCGUCGCUACCACCAUCAGCACCAACACCAGUGUUGAAUCCACCAUCACCACCACCACCACCAUCACCGACGGUGAAUCUGUAACUCAAACUACUAUUGGUUUACUAAGAUAAACGGUGGUUAUAUAUCUCAAUAUGAAUGAUGCAUCAUGAGGUAAGGUCUAAGGAUAACUGUUCCAAGGAGUCUUAGGUGUGCUGCUUGUGGAGCUUGACGAUGAGCUUCGUCUCUUAAGUUACCAAUGUUUUUGAAAAGUAAUUGACUAGUUGUUGUCAGUUGACUAAUUUUUUCACACGAGACUCUUUGAGAGGCCGUGGAACUAACACUAGUAGUUAGUUUAGACUACUAGGCAGCAGUUGCAGGAUUCCAUCACUUGAAGAUGUAUAAUUUAUCGGAAGCCCUUUACAGUGGUAAGAUUAGGAUUAUUUUAGUACUGAAAGGUUGGAUAAAUUUGUUAUAGGUUAGAAAAAAUUAUUUACUUGCCUUGAGAAUAGAGUCUAUUUAGUAGUACAUUUCAUUUUGAUUUUUCGACACAUUAUUACUAUGAAGACAUGUAAUUGAAUUGUGGUACAAUGAAUUUGUGGUGCAAUGGUAGCACAACUGACACCACGUCAGAAAAUACGUUUUCAAUUCACGUCAGGUUCACUAAUUUUAUUACAUCAAUUUUUGGGAUCAAUUUUGGUUGUUGACACUAGUUUUUGGGGUCAACUUUGCUUGUUGAUACCGUAUUAUGGGAUCAACUUUGGUUGUUGACCCCAUACAUAAUUUGAAUAUUUUCUGAAUUUUUAACUUAAGGGAUCAACUUCGGUUGUUGAUACCAUAUUAUUUAUUUAUUUAUUGAUUGAUUUUUUAUUU
Molecule: long non-coding RNA, 968 nt
Organism: Papaver somniferum (opium poppy)
Lineage: Eukaryota; Viridiplantae; Streptophyta; Magnoliopsida; Ranunculales; Papaveraceae
Exons: 3
Source: RefSeq, a predicted model, not a curated record